CUCUAAAAACCUCCAACAGAACAUUUUUUACUACAUGCCAAAAUUCCUGUAGAAAUCUCAUGUUAAAGCCAUCAGGACCUGGAGCUUGUCGCCUUUACAAUCCAUGAGUGCCUCUUUAAUCUCAUCUGUAGUGAACUCCUUCUCCACAUUGGUUCUAACUUCCUCAUCUAACAUCUCAAACUGCAAAUUGUCUAGUCUCGGUCUUUUAACAAUAUUUUCAUAAUACAGAUUAGAAAAGAACACACCUGGCUCUUCUCUCCUAUCUCUGUUUCCCUUGAUAUCACGACUGUCCACAGAUAGUUGGUCAACAUAAUUGCAUCUCUUUCUGUGACUAGCAAGACAGUGAAAGUAUCUAGUGUUCAUGUCACCUUCUUUAAUCCACUUUUCUCUCGAUUUUUGUCUCUAUGAGAUUUCAUUCAUCCUCAUUCUGUGCGCCAAGUCAACCCUCAACACCCUUCUCUUCUCGCUCUGUCCACCUCCCCCCCCUUCUUUCAGUCCUUCCUCUUUGGCUCACUUCUUGCUCUCAUCCUUUAGGAUUCUCAAUUUACGAGCCACUCUGUAGCUAGCUUUACUAAUUACCUUAUUCCCUUUCCAUGCUUUCUCUAUCAUGCUUCUGAAGUUCUCCACCUUUAAUCACUUGUUAUCAAUUCUGAAUUGGCCCCACUCUGUAGCAGCUCCGGAAAUUUAAAAUGAAA
This 695-nucleotide long non-coding RNA is filed under the name Carica papaya (papaya). RNAcentral's name for it is "long non-coding RNA (CPAP_LNC014658)". Lineage: Eukaryota; Viridiplantae; Streptophyta; Magnoliopsida; Brassicales; Caricaceae. The record is from RNAcentral.